ACUCCUACGGGAGGCAGCAGUGGGGAAUAUUGCACAAUGGGCGCAAGCCUGAUGCAGCCAUGCCGCGUGUAUGAAGAAGGCCUUCGGGUUGUAAAGUACUUUCAGCAGUGAGGAAGGUGGAUAUGUUAAUAGCAUAUUCUAUUUGUACGUUAGCUGCAGAAGAAGCACCGGCUAACUCCGUGCCAGCAGCCGCGGUAAUACGGAGGGUGCGAGCGUUAAUCGGAAUUACGUGGCGUAAAGCGCAUGCAGGUGGUUUGUUAAGUCAGAUGUGAAAGCCCGGGCUCAACCUCGGAAUUGCAUUUGAAACUGGCAAACUAGAGUACUGUAGAGGGGGUAGAAUUUCAGGUGUAGCGGUGAAAUGCGUAGAGAUCGUAGAA
This 377-nucleotide ribosomal RNA is filed under the name uncultured bacterium. Its description in RNAcentral is "bacterial SSU rRNA". It matches the Rfam family "Bacterial small subunit ribosomal RNA", at positions 335 to 704 of the family's 1533-position model. The record is from RNAcentral.